Molecule: ribosomal RNA, 253 nt
Filed under: uncultured bacterium
Lineage: Bacteria
Description: partial 16S ribosomal RNA
Rfam family: Bacterial small subunit ribosomal RNA
Source: RNAcentral
UACGGAGGGGGCUAGCGUUGUUCGGAAUUACUGGGCGUAAAGCGCACGUAGGCGGCUUUGUAAGUUAGAGGUGAAAGCCUGGAGCUCAACUCCAGAACUGCCUUUAAGACUGCAGCGCUCGAGUCCAGGAGAGGAGAGUGGAAUUCCGAGUGUAGAGGUGAAAUGCGUAGAUAUUCGGAAGAACACCAGUGGCGAAGGCGGCUCACUGGACUGGUAUUGACGCUGAGGUGCGAAAGCGUGGGGAGCAAACAGG